GACGAACGCUGGCGGCGUGCUUAACACAUGCAAGUCGAACGGAAAGGCCCUGCUUUUGUGGGGUGCUCGAGUGGCGAACGGGUGAGUAACACGUGAGUAACCUGCCCUUGACUUUGGGAUAACUUCAGGAAACUGGGGCUAAUACCGGAUAGGAGCUCCUGCUGCAUGGUGGGGGUUGGAAAGUUUCGGCGGUUGGGGAUGGACUCGCGGCUUAUCAGCUUGUUGGUGGGGUAGUGGCUUACCAAGGCUUUGACGGGUAGCCGGCCUGAGAGGGUGACCGGCCACAUUGGGACUGGGGUUAGGCCCAGACUCCUACGGGAGGCAGCAGUGGGGAAUAUUGCACCAUGGGCGGAAGCCUGAUUCAGCAACGCCGGGGGCGGGAUUACGGCCUUCGGGUUGGAAACCGCUUUCGCCUGUGACGAAGCGUGAGUGACGGUAAUGGGUAAAGAAGCACCGGCUAACUACGUG
This 468-nucleotide ribosomal RNA is filed under the name uncultured bacterium. Its description in RNAcentral is "partial 16S ribosomal RNA". It matches the Rfam family "Bacterial small subunit ribosomal RNA", at positions 28 to 507 of the family's 1533-position model. The record is from RNAcentral.